GAACGAGAAAGUGGAGCAAUCCAUGAGUAAAGUGGCGCACGGGUGAGUAACACGUGGCUAACCUACCCUUGAGUGGGGGAUAACUGAGGGAAACCUUAGCUAAUACCGCAUAAUACCUACGGGUCAAAGGAGCAAUUCGCUUAAGGAGGGGGUCGCGGCCGAUUAGUUAGUUGGCGGGGUAAUGGCCCACCAAGGCAAUGAUCGGUAGCCGGUCUGAGAGGAUGGCCGGCCACACUGGAACUGAGACACGGUCCAGACUCCUACGGGAGGCAGCAGUGGGGAAUAUUGGACAAUGGGCGCAAGCCUGAUCCAGCCAUGCCGCGUGAGUGAUGAAGGCCCUAGGGUUGUAAAGCUCUUUUGUGCGGGAAGAUAAUGACGGUACCGCAAGAAUAAGCCCCGGCUAACUUCGUG
This 411-nucleotide ribosomal RNA is filed under the name uncultured bacterium. RNAcentral describes it as "bacterial SSU rRNA". It matches the Rfam family "Bacterial small subunit ribosomal RNA", at positions 64 to 507 of the family's 1533-position model. The record is from RNAcentral.